GGAUAAUGGAAACACUUGCGCCACAUAAUUUUUACAUCAAAUUUCUAUGCGAACAUUCUAAAUGUCGACAAAAUACAAAUUACUGGACAAGUUCAUGACAACAUAGCUACAGUCAUGUUGGGUCCCAUCUUUGACAUGUUGAAUACAUAAGGACAUGAGUCCUGUCUAUGUCAAAUAUUGUCAUGCCCUGAUCUGUUUCACCCGUUCCUGUGAUUGUCUCCACCUCCUCCAAGUGUCACUUAUUUUCGACAGUGUAUUUAUCCCUGUGUUUCCUGUCUCUCUGUGCCAGUUCGUCUUGUAUGUUUAGUCAAGUCAACCACCGUGGUGUUCCCCGUACUCCCUUUCUAUUCUCUUUUGCUAGUCUUCCCAGUUUUGACCGCUGCCUGACUCUGGACUACUUUCCCGCCUGCCUGAUCAUCCUGCCUGCCCUGACCUUGAAUCUGCCUACCCUUCGGUAUCUAUUGGACUCCGAACUGGUUUUGACCUUUGCGUUGUAAGCUAAUGUUUUAGGAGAGCAGGCUAGCUCCCUGCAGAAUCUAGACAAUAGAGAAUGGGGAAUGAGAUAUGGCUAUUGCAGUGCCCAGAUGAGGUGAGAGCAAACUGCUACAGAGAUAAAAAGGAAUCUCCAAAUGCUAUGUUGAAAGAGCACCACGGAUGAAGGAGGCGGAGGAAAACAGACAGCUUCUAUCUACCAUACCUUCACCAAGUCAUGCAAUGUUUGCUUCAUGAACAAUUGUUACAUCUGAAAUAAAUACAGAAUUAUUUUAGUUUAUUCUGUUUAAUGUUUUUUAUGCUGGAUGUGGGUAAUUUAGCAGGUCUAUUGUAUAAUGUAUUGUUUUGAAAUGUUUAACUGUUUAUUAACUAUCUAUUCAGUCAAAACUCACAUUAUUUUAGCAAACAUAAAAUAAGUAUGUUUGUACUGUUACUUUUUACAUGCUGAAACAGUCAUUAGUUUUGAGCUAGACUAUGAUCAGGGAAAUGUCUACUACCCUUAAUGUUGCUGAUGAAUGAAAUUAGCACCGUUUCUAAUAGUUUGUUGCUACUGUCUGAGGAAGUGAGCAAUAUGAAAUACAUUGGAGGAAGGGAGAAUGAAUGUGAAAUCAGAACUUGGACAAUGUCAGGGAAUUAAGUAGGUAAAUGUACAGCCUGCAGUAUCAAUGACAAAAGAAACUGUGCAGAGGUAGCCUUAAGAUAACAUUAGAUAUGUGCAUGUUACGUACUGGACAGACGGCUAGCCAAAUAUUUUCAAAACAUUGGAUUACCAACUUCAGCGGUGGCAUCUCAAUUUACACCACAUGUUCACAUGGACGUACAUUCAAUACUGAACAAAAAUAUAAAUGCAGCAUGUAAAGUGUUUUCAUGAAAUAAAAUAUCCCAGACAUUUUCCAUACAGACAAGAAGCUUAUUUAUCUCAAAUGUUGUGCACCCUGGCCCUUCCUCCGCUGCUUCUGUAAAAAUGUAUAAAUUCCUUUUUAGAAAAUAUUUAAAUACAG
Molecule: long non-coding RNA, 1493 nt
Organism: Oncorhynchus tshawytscha (Chinook salmon)
Lineage: Eukaryota; Metazoa; Chordata; Actinopteri; Salmoniformes; Salmonidae
Source: Ensembl